This 71-nucleotide transfer RNA is filed under the name Ictidomys tridecemlineatus (thirteen-lined ground squirrel). RNAcentral describes it as "Spermophilus tridecemlineatus (thirteen-lined ground squirrel) tRNA". It matches the Rfam family "tRNA". From Rfam's summary of the family: Transfer RNA (tRNA) molecules are approximately 80 nucleotides in length. Their secondary structure includes four short double-helical elements and three loops (D, anti-codon, and T loops). Further hydrogen bonds mediate the characteristic L-shaped molecular structure. tRNAs have two regions of fundamental functional importance: the anti-codon, which is responsible for specific mRNA codon recognition, and the 3' end, to which the tRNAs corresponding amino acid is attached (by aminoacyl-tRNA synthetases). tRNAs cope with the degeneracy of the genetic code in two manners: having more than one tRNA (with a specific anti-codon) for a particular amino acid; and 'wobble' base-pairing, i.e. permitting non-standard base-pairing at the 3rd anti-codon position. Lineage: Eukaryota; Metazoa; Chordata; Mammalia; Rodentia; Sciuridae. The record is from Rfam by way of RNAcentral.
GGAGUGGUGGCUCAGUGGUAAAGCGCUUGCCUAGCAUGCAUGAGGCACUGGGUUCGAUUCUCAGCACUGCA